RNAcentral lists this ribosomal RNA (274 nucleotides) under uncultured bacterium. RNAcentral's name for it is "partial 16S ribosomal RNA". It matches the Rfam family "Bacterial small subunit ribosomal RNA", at positions 523 to 796 of the family's 1533-position model. The record is from RNAcentral.
AUACGUAGGGUGCAAGCGUUGUUCGGAAUUAUUGGGUGUAAAGCGGAUGUAGGUGGCUUAUUAAGCCAGAUGUGAAAGCCCGGGGCUUAACCCCGGACGUGCAUUUGGAACUGGUAAGCUAGAGUGUGUUAUGGGAGUGCGGAAUUCCUGGUGUAGCGGUGAAAUGCGUAGAUAUCAGGAGGAACAUUCGUGGCGAAGGCGGCGCUCUGGGGCGACACUGACACUGAGAUCCGAAAGCAUGGGUAGCAAACAGGAUUAGAAACCCCGGUAGUCC